Molecule: ribosomal RNA, 947 nt
Filed under: uncultured Lysobacterales bacterium
Lineage: Bacteria; Pseudomonadati; Pseudomonadota; Gammaproteobacteria; Lysobacterales
Description: bacterial SSU rRNA
Rfam family: Bacterial small subunit ribosomal RNA
Source: RNAcentral
GAGUUUGAUCGUGGCUCAGAGUGAACGCUGGCGGUAGGCCUAACACAUGCAAGUCGAACGGUAACAGGUCUUUCGGGAUGCUGACGAGUGGCGGACGGGUGAGGAAUACAUCGGAAUCUGCUCAGUCGUGGGGGAUAACGCAUGGAAACGUGCGCUAAUACCGCAUACGACCUUCGGGUGAAAGCAGGGGAAUCUUUAGGGAUCCUUGCGCGAUUGAAUGAGCCGAUGUCGGAUUAGCUAGUUGGUAGGGUAAAAGCCUACCAAGGCGACGAUCCGUAGCUGGUCUGAGAGGAUGAUCAGCCACACUGGGACUGAGACACGGCCCAGACUCCUGCGGGAGGCAGCAGUGGGGAAUAUUGGACAAUGGGGGCAACCCUGAUCCAGCCAUACCGCGUGGGUGAAGAAGGCCUUCUGGGUUGUAAAGCCCUUUUGUUGGGGAAGAAAAACAACGGGUUAAUACCCCGUUGGUAUGACGGUACCCAAAGAAUAAGCACCGGCUAACUUCGUGCCAGCAGCCGCGGUAAUACGAAGGGUGCAAGCGUUACUCGGAAUUACUGGGCGUAAAGGGUGCGUAGGUGGUUGCGCCAGUCUGUCGUGAAAGCCCUGGGCUUAACCUGGGAAUGGCGAUGGAAACUGUGCAACUAGAGUGUGACAGAGGGUGGUGGAAUUCCUGGUGUAGCAGUGAAAUGCGUAGAGAUCAGGAGGAACAUUCGUGGCGAAGGCGGCCACCUGGGUCAACACUGACACUGAGGCACGAAAGCGUGGGGAGCAAACAGGAUUAGAUACCCUGGUAGUCCACGCCCUAAACGAUGCGAACUGGAUGUUGGGUCCAACUUGGGAUUCAGUAUCGAAGCUAACGCGUUAAGUUCGCCGCCUGGGGAGUACGGUCGCAAGACUGAAACUCAAAGGAAUUGACGGGGGCCCGCACAAGCGGUGGAGUAUGUGGU